Molecule: non-coding RNA, 1356 nt
Organism: Kogia breviceps (pygmy sperm whale)
Lineage: Eukaryota; Metazoa; Chordata; Mammalia; Artiodactyla; Physeteridae
Source: RefSeq, a predicted model, not a curated record
AAGGAACCCACUCCCUGCGGUGGGCAAUUUCUGGGGUGUGAGUCAAGCUCUCGGUCACACCACUUCACCCUCACACCUCCCACCCUUCUCCUCCUUAGCAGCGGGAACUUUGGGCUAAUUAUAGAAGUGAACUAGUUACCAGGGGCAGCUGACUCCACAUAGUAUAAUCUGUGAAACACGGGCUGGCACGCUGCAGGCCCCCUUCCUCGAGGGCUGGGGAAGCUGCAGGCUGUGGGGUGAUCCUGGGAGGGCCCUGGCUACUCUGUGACAGUCCCCCCAUUCUCACCUCCUCCCCCGUCUUGGCUCAGCUGGUGAAGCUACAGAGAGGCCUAGGGCAUAAGCUUGAUGCUGGGGAGGCCAUUUAGCUAUUCUUGGGUGCAAUGUGGCGAUCUCAGGUGGUCCUCUAGUAGUCAAGGUGUUCCAGCUUUUUCCUAGCCCAGGCCUGGGGAGCGCCUGGCACUGGUCUCACCUCUCCUCUGCUGAUGCCCUCGGAGACGGGGCCGGGAAGCUUUCCCUGGAUCCCAGCUGGGCCUCGGACUCCUUCUCAACACUUUCCCAGGCAGCCUCUGCUGAUUGAUCAGGGCUGGCAUUUGAGAUGAAAGCGAUUUGCCAGCCCUGCCUUAAAUCUUCCAACUCUGAAAGAAUCCAAGAAAAAUGUUAGCCCUGGUGUGAAGCAACCCGUAGCUGUACAGAGGGAACCCCUUGGCAAUGGGUGGGCGACCUUCUCCUUCGGAGCAGGCUUGAGCCCUGAGUAGAGAGAGAAGAGGAGGGACGCUAAAGAAGAAGUGUGACAGCAUCGUCUCCCCCGAGGCUCCUGGUCUGCUGCCGGGGUUCUCUGCUUCCUCCAACCCCGUCAAUCCUCUGAUUGCCUGCUCCCAAGUUAAGUUGCCCUUUGAGGGAGGAGCACCGCAGAGGCCACAGUGGCCGAGGGUCAAGCCCCAGCUCGGCCACCUAAGUAACUCAGACAGUUACUGAGUGUCUCUGGUCCUCCGCUUUCUCGAAUCUGUAGAAGGAGGGUAACAUUUCCUGCCUUGAAGUUAUGCUGUGAAGAAUAGAUGCCCCAGUCGAUGAUAUUUAAUUGAUGCUAGGAGUAAUCCUUUGAGGUCACAGUUAAAUUGUCAGUAUUUCAAAAAUUCUUAGUGGUACCUAAAAUACAAGGGCCCCACGAUGGGCAGGGAUCUCCGACUUCCUGGAAUAUGGUGUGUACAUUUAGAACCGUGCCUGGCACGUAGUAAAUGCUAACAAACGUUAGCUGUUAUUAUUUCCAUAUAAAUCAGGGAAAGUGCAGAUCUUGUUCUGUUGCCCUCUCCCUACCCGCCAUUCAAAUAAGGCAAAUAAAACUCACUGAAAACAGAA